UCCGGCUUUUCGCCGACAGUCUCCGUAGAGUGCCCAGCUUUACCUGAUGGCAACUACAGACAAGGGUUGCGCUCGUUGCGGGACUUAACCCAACAUCUCACGACACGAGCUGACGACAGCCAUGCAGCACCUCCACCGGUGUCCCGAAGGAACUCCACAUCUCUGCAGAUGGCACCGGCAGUUCAAACCCCGGUAAGGUUCUUCGCGUUGCGUCGAAUUAAACCACAUGCUCCACCGCUUGUGCGGGCCCCCGUCAAUUCCUUUGAGUUUCAGCCUUGCGGCCGUACUCCCCAGGCGGAGCACUUAACGAGUUUUCUCCGUCACAGAGAGCUUCUACAACUCCCCACAACAAGUGCUCAUCGUUUACAGCCAGGACUAC
RNAcentral lists this unclassified non-coding RNA (379 nucleotides) under uncultured Acidobacteriota bacterium. RNAcentral's name for it is "uncultured Acidobacteria bacterium contains 16S-23S intergenic spacer region". The record is from RNAcentral. Lineage: Bacteria; Pseudomonadati; Acidobacteriota.